RNAcentral lists this long non-coding RNA (264 nucleotides) under Lathyrus oleraceus (garden pea). RNAcentral's name for it is "Pisum sativum (pea) long non-coding RNA (PSAT_LNC025169)". Lineage: Eukaryota; Viridiplantae; Streptophyta; Magnoliopsida; Fabales; Fabaceae. The record is from RNAcentral.
AUUAUUUUGGGAUUUUUUGGACGAAAAGUGAAAUUACUACAAAUUUUUAAAGAAAAUGCAAUUUAAAAUAAUUAAAGAAUUGGAAUUAAAAUCAGAAGAAAAAAAACAUGAGCGUUGGAUCACGCCUCAUUAAUUGACGUGGUAGAUCCAACACUCCAAAUGCUGAGAAACCCUAUGGAACGCACUGCAAGCCAAACACAAGAUCCAGUUUGAAUUUAACCAAUCAAAACAUUUCAAAAUGCCAACGUGUUUGGUCCAAACUCA